CUAACUCGUUUUUGGGGCUUCGGCUUCAGAGACUAAGCGAAAGUGAUAAGUUAGCCACCUGGGGAGUACGAACGCAAGUUUGAAACUCAAAGGAAUUGACGGGGGCCCGCACAAGCGGUGGAUUAUGUGGUUUAAUUCGAUGAUACGCGAGGAACCUUACCAAGGCUUAAAUGGGAAUUGACCGGUUUAGAAAUAGACCUUCCUUCGGGCAAUUUUCAAGGUGCUGCAUGGUUGUCGUCAGCUCGUGCCGUGAGGUGUUAGGUUAAGUCCUGCAACGAGCGCAACCCCUGUCACUAGUUGCUAACAUUCAGUUGAGGACUCUAGUGAGACUGCCUACGCAAGUAGAGAGGAAGGUGGGGAUGACGUCAAAUCAUCACGGCCCUUACGCCUUGGGCCACACACGUAAUACAAUGGCCGGUACAGAGGGCAGCUACACAGCGAUGUGAUGCAAAUCUCGAAAGCCGGUCUCAGUUCGGAUUGGAGUCUGCAACUCGACUCUAUGAAGCUGGAAUCGCUAGUAAUCGCGCAUCAGCCAUGGCGCGGUGAAUACGUUCCCGGGCCUUGUACACACCGCCCGUCAAGCCAUGGAAGUCUGGGGUACCUGAAGUCGGUGACCGUAACAGGAGCUGCCUAGGGUAAAA
Molecule: ribosomal RNA, 641 nt
Filed under: Chryseobacterium sp. B11-7
Lineage: Bacteria; Pseudomonadati; Bacteroidota; Flavobacteriia; Flavobacteriales; Weeksellaceae
Description: bacterial SSU rRNA
Rfam family: Bacterial small subunit ribosomal RNA
Source: RNAcentral